Molecule: ribosomal RNA, 908 nt
Filed under: Macaca cyclopis (Taiwan macaque)
Lineage: Eukaryota; Metazoa; Chordata; Mammalia; Primates; Cercopithecidae
Description: partial 16S ribosomal RNA
Rfam family: Bacterial large subunit ribosomal RNA (bases 153-908)
Source: RNAcentral
GCCAACACUAGCCCUAAGCAUAACCAACACUAAUACCAAACCAACAUGCACUAAACCAUUCACCUACACAAAGUAUAGGCGAUAGAAAUUUUAAUCUGGCGCUAUAGACACAGUACCGUAAGGGAAAGAUAAAACCCACCCAAGCACAAAACAGCAAGGACUAACUCCUGUACCUUUCGCAUAAUGAAUUAGCUAGAAACAAUUUCACAAAGAGGACUACAAGCCAAAUUCCCCGAAACCAGACGAGCUACCCAAAAACAGCUAAAAGAGCGCACCCAUCUAUGUGGCAAAAUAGUGGGAAGAUUUCUGGGUAGAGGUGACAAGCCUACCGAGCCUGGUGAUAGCUGGUUAUCCAAGACAGAAUCUUAGUUCAACCUUAAGCUUACCUACAGAACCACCUAAUCCCCCUGUAAGCUUAAUUGCUAGUCUAAAGAGGGACAGCUCUUUAGACACUAGGAAAAAACCUUGUAGAGAGAGUAAAACCCUCAAUUACCAUAGUUGGCUUAAAAGCAGCCAUCAAUUAAGAAAGCGUUCAAGCUCAACACUAACCACCCCAAAAAUACCAAACACAUAACUGAACUCCUCACACCACAUUGGAUUAAUCUAUCACCAUAUAGAAGCAAUAAUGCUAGUAUAAGUAACAUGAAUAUUUUCUCCACUGCAUAAGCCCAAAUCGGAUCGAAAACCUCACCGAUACCUAACAGCCAGGCAUAGCAAGCACAAACAAGCCCAUGCUACCUUCACUGUUAACCCAACACAGGCAUGCCUCAAGGAAAGGUUAAAAAAAGUAAAAGGAACUCGGCAAACUUAAACCCCGCCUGUUUACCAAAAACAUCACCUCUAGCAUUACUAGUAUUAGAGGCACUGCCUGCCCAGUGACACACGUUUAACGGCCGCGGUACCCUGAC